CAGCAGUAGGGAAUCUUCGGCAAUGGACGAAAGUCUGACCGAGCAACGCCGCGUGAGUGAAGAAGGUUUUCGGAUCGUAAAACUCUGUUGUUAGAGAAGAACAAGGAUGAGAGUAACUGUUCAUCCCUUGACGGUAUCUAACCAGAAAGCCACGGCUAACUACGUGCCAGCAGCCGCGGUAAUACGUAGGUGGCAAGCGUUGUCCGGAUUUAUUGGGCGUAAAGCGAGCGCAGGCGGUUUCUUAAGUCUGAUGUGAAAGCCCCCGGCUCAACCGGGGAGGGUCAUUGGAAACUGGGAGACUUGAGUGCAGAAGAGGAGAGUGGAAUUCCAUGUGUAGCGGUGAAAUGCGUAGAUAUAUGGAGGAACACCAGUGGCGAAGGCGGCUCUCUGGUCUGUAACUGACGCUGAGGCUCGAAAGCGUGGGGAGCAAACAGGAUUAGA
Molecule: ribosomal RNA, 441 nt
Filed under: uncultured Enterococcus sp.
Lineage: Bacteria; Bacillati; Bacillota; Bacilli; Lactobacillales; Enterococcaceae
Description: bacterial SSU rRNA
Rfam family: Bacterial small subunit ribosomal RNA
Source: RNAcentral